This 549-nucleotide ribosomal RNA is filed under the name uncultured Glomus. RNAcentral describes it as "SSU rRNA". It matches the Rfam family "Eukaryotic small subunit ribosomal RNA", at positions 548 to 1098 of the family's 1831-position model. Lineage: Eukaryota; Fungi; Glomeromycota; Glomeromycetes; Glomerales; Glomeraceae. The record is from RNAcentral.
UUGGAGGGCAAGUCUGGUGCCAGCAGCUGUGGUAAUUUCAGCUCCAAUAGCGUAUAUUAAAGUUGUUACAAUUAAAAAGCUCGUAGUUGAAUUUCGGGAUUAGUAGGUUGGUUGUGCCUCAGGUAUAUACUGAUCUCACUAAUUCCUCCUUCCUGAUGAACCGUAAUGCCAUUAAUUUGGUGUUACAGGGAAACUGGACUGUUACUUUAAAAAAAUUAGAGUGUUUAAAGCAGGCUAACGCUUGAAUACAUUAGCAUGGAAUAAUGAAAUAGGACGUUCGAUCCUAUUUUGUUGGUUUCUAGGAUUGAUGUAAUAAUUAAUAGGGAUAGUUGGGGGCAUUAGUAUUCAAUUAUCAGAGGUGAAAUUCUUGGAUUUAUUGAAGACUAACUACUGCGAAAGCAUUUGCCAAGGAUGUUUUCAUUAAUCAAGAACGAAAAUUAAGGAAUCGAAGACGAUCAGAUACCGUCGUAGUCUUAACCAUAAACUAUGCUGACUAGGGAUCGGAUGAUGUUAAUUUUUUAAUGACUCAUUCGGCGCCUUACGGGAAAC